UCAACCGAAUGUCGAGCCCCACCUAUAAAAUCCAUAUCAUUUCAUUCGAUAUCAUAUCAUAUCCGCUCAUAUUUUCUUACAACACAAGCUAGCCACCAUUUCAUCACACACACACUCUCUCUCUCUCUCUUAUGCUCCCUCACACAUACUAAAAUUCACUUAUGGCAACAGCUUCUGCUCACAAGUCUCUCACAAAAUGCACAAACACCUUCCUCUUAUUUCCUCUCUCCAAGAAGCAACACUCUAUUUACACUCUUCAUCUUCACCAAAGACCAUUGUGCAAUGGAUGCUAUCUUUCAAUGAAUGGCUGCAGAAAAGGACAGUCAAGAGGGCCUGUUGGGACAAUAGAGACACAAACGUUGGAACCGGUUGCAACAACUUCAAUGGCUUUGUACAGCCUGAAAAUGACGAUUUCUAAGAUGAAAUCAGAGCCUCCAUAUCGGAGCUCUUCGGGCAUAGUGAGGCUGCAGGUCCCUAUUGAGGAGGAAGAGGUUGAGGCCAUUGAUUGGCUCCACUCACAGAACCACCUUCUCCUUCCUCGUUGCUUCUUCUCCGGCAGGGAACACAAUUCUUUUGACUCUAAUGGCAGAAGCUUGGUUAGCGUUGCCGGUGUUGGCUCUGCCGUUUCCUUUUGCCAGCCACACCCCUUUUCCUAUUGGGAUUGGAUAUCCAUUAGGAGGUUUCUUUCUGAGAGCUGCCCAUUGAUUCGUGCAUACGGAGCCAUCCGAUUCAACGCAAAAGCUAAGGUGUCAUCAGAGUGGCUGCCUUUCGGUUCUUUCUACUUCAUGAUUCCGCAGGUUGAGUUUAAUGAGCUUGAAGGAGGAUCGAUGCUCACUACGACCAUUGCGUGGGACAAUACAAUUUCUUGGUCCUGGGAAGAUGCAAUCAAUGCUCUCCAAGAAACCCUUAGCAAGGUUUCUGCUUCGAUUGUGAGGUUUCCGAAACAAGCUCCUCCAACAUUAAUAUUAAGUAGCCAUGAUAUUCCAAGUAAAAUAUAUUGGGAUAUUGCUGUUAACAGAGCUUUGGAGAUGAUAAAGAAAAACAACUCCUUACUAACCAAGGUUGUGCUGGCUCGUAGUACAAGAGUGGUGCCUACUACUAACAUCGAUCCGCUUACGUGGUUAGCUUGCUUAACGGUUGAGAGCGAAAAUGCAUACCAGUUUCUCCUUCAGCCGCCAAAUGCACCUGCAUUUAUCGGAAAUACACCAGAGCAACUAUUUCACAGAAAAUGGCUCCACAUUACUAGUGAGGCUUUGGCUGGAACUCGAGCUAGAGGAGCGUCGAUGGCACUGGAUCGUCAAAUAGAACUUGACUUGCUUACAAGUCCAAAGGAUGAUAUUGAGUUCACCAUAGUAAGGGAUACCAUAAGAAGAAAAUUAGAGGGAGUGUGUGAAAACGUUAUGAUCAAGCCAAAGAAAAUGAUAAGAAAGCUCCCCAGGAUCCAACAUUUAUUUGCUCAAUUAGCCGGCAGGUUAAGAAGCGAAGAAGACGAGUUUAAAAUUUUGUCAUCUCUUCACCCAAGUCCAGCAGUUUGUGGGUUUCCAACAGAAGAGGCACAACUUUUAAUUGCAAAAACAGAAGUAUUUGAUAGAGGGAUGUAUGCCGGACCUGUUGGUUGGUUCGGCGGUGGAGAGAGCGAGUUUGCUGUUGGCAUCAGGUCAGCAUUGGUGGAAAAGGUUAGCUGCAAUUUUGAGGAUUUUUUCCUCCUUAGUGGAGAAAAAAGAGGAUCACGGUGCAUUGAUAUAUGCUGGAACAGGGAUAGUGGAAGGAAGCAAUCCUUACUUGGAGUGGGAUGAACUAGAACUCAAGACAUCUCAGUUCACCAAGUUGCUCAAACUUGACUUGCCUCUCAGACAAAAAGUAGAUUGUAAAUGAGCUCCAUCAACUGAUUCGGUUGGCGUCUUCGAUAUCUAUUUAUGCUGGUGGAGGCUUUGGACAACACCAUAUAGAAUAAAACAUUAUAAGCUAUUUAUUUAUGUUAUUUUAAUGACUCAAUUACUGCUCUUUAGAGUAGAUUCAACAACUGCUGAUUUGUAUUCAUGGGUUGAGAAGUCAUGACAGCAAUUCUUUCUCCCGAAUAUUUGUACUCUUUUGAGCAAAGAAAUAUAAAAAACAUUGUAUAAUAAUAAUAAUAAUAAUAUGUAUACACUAGUGUGUCAUAAUAUUUCUUAUUUUGUAUGAUCUCAAUAAUUUGCAAAAGGAGAAGAAAUAAAGUGAUUUAUUUUUAAUAUAUAAAACACAAAUUACUAUGAUCCUAGUAUUAUGCUUAUCGAGCGAUACAUUUAAAUAUUAUCUGACUGUUUACACGUAAAGAAAUUUAAUUCCAAAUAGAGUAAGUAUUUCUAGUAAGUAAUUAUGAUUCACAAAGCCACUGCAUAGGUUGGUAACAUUUCCUUCUUGAUACUUUUUAUAAUUUUGGUUGUUGAACUAUUAGAGUCGGAUGUGAAUGCACACCAUCAAAAUAAGGUUAGAAUUGAAAAUUAAUCAUAAAUUAACCACCACCUGAACUGUAACAUGGCUUCAAUGGGUUUUUACCACAAUCAUAGCAAAAGUGCCAUUAAUCUCAUAUGUGA
Arachis duranensis is the source of this 2573-nucleotide RNA transcript. It is a transcript of the gene named isochorismate synthase, chloroplastic, with no coding region annotated. NCBI's taxonomy places the organism in Eukaryota, Viridiplantae, Streptophyta, Magnoliopsida, Fabales, Fabaceae. The record is from RefSeq and is a predicted model, not a curated record. The transcript is spliced from 15 exons.